AUCCGACUGACAAGUUCCAAAUAGGAUGAAACGCGCAUCCUGGAU
Schistosoma mattheei is the source of this 45-nucleotide non-coding RNA. The record is from Rfam. Lineage: Eukaryota; Metazoa; Platyhelminthes; Trematoda; Strigeidida; Schistosomatidae.